This 372-nucleotide ribosomal RNA is filed under the name uncultured organism. RNAcentral's name for it is "bacterial SSU rRNA". It matches the Rfam family "Bacterial small subunit ribosomal RNA", at positions 526 to 896 of the family's 1533-position model. The record is from RNAcentral.
CGGAGGGUGCAAGCGUUAAUCGGAAUUACUGGGCGUAAAGGGUUCGUAGGUGGUUUAUUAAGUUAUUUGUAAAAUCCCUGGGCUUAACCUGGGCAGGUCAGAUAAUACUGGUAGACUCGAGUAUGGGAGAGGGUAGUGGAAUUUCCGGUGUAGCGGUGAAAUGCGUAGAGAUCGGAAGGAACACCAGUGGCGAAGGCGGCUACCUGGCCUAAUACUGACACUGAGGAACGAAAGCGUGGGGAGCAAACAGGAUUAGAUACCCUGGUAGUCCACGCCGUAAACGAUGUCAACUAGCUGUUGGUCAUAUUGAUAUGAUUAGUGGCGCAGCAAACGCGAUAAGUUGACCGCCCGGGGAGUACGGUCGCAAGAUUA